RNAcentral lists this long non-coding RNA (428 nucleotides) under Prunus persica (peach). RNAcentral describes it as "long non-coding RNA (PPER_LNC004437)". The record is from RNAcentral. Lineage: Eukaryota; Viridiplantae; Streptophyta; Magnoliopsida; Rosales; Rosaceae.
UCGAGUGUUAUACUGGUUAUGUGCUUUGAUGCUUGAUCACCAUUAUGGUAUAUGACUAAGUUAUAUGAUGCAAAAUUAAGUGAAUGCCACAUUGAUUUUGAGUAUGCUUCUUGCAAUUAAAAGGUGCGAUUACUUAGGGUAAAUGCCAUGCUAUAAGAAUUACAUGAUUGAUUUGGUUACUCGUGCUCAUCAUACGCUUCAUGUUUAUAUCUAGCCUAAGUGCCAUAGGGAGAUUGCAUGUUGUAGGAGUUAUUCUAGCCUAAAUGCCAUAGGGAGAAUAAAUGUAAGGUAACCAAUCUUCAAUAUGAAAUUACCUGUUAAUGGAUGAAUGAACAUAAGUGCUAUAUUGGAUUGCUUGUGGUGGACACCUAGCCUUAGUGUAUUAUCCUCCUGAUUUUCUCAACCAAUUAAUAAUCCUUCAAAACUGU